GAAUUUGUAAAAAGGGAGCCACUGCAAGCACCACAGAUAGAUCAAGAAUUAAGAAUCAUAAAAAUCAUUGAAUCAAACCACCAUCAUCACUACUCUUUACACACAACAAAUCCCAGAGCUUCUCAUUCAAUGACAGGUUCAUAUGAGGACCAAGCAAAUGGCACACAAAUAAGCAAGUCCAAUAAUUUAAAUUCUAAUAAAACAUCAUGUAGAAAGGAAGAACUAGAAGGGCUAACCUCUCCUGGUUAUCUCCCAAACGC
This 260-nucleotide unclassified non-coding RNA is filed under the name Hevea brasiliensis (rubber tree). The record is from RNAcentral. Lineage: Eukaryota; Viridiplantae; Streptophyta; Magnoliopsida; Malpighiales; Euphorbiaceae.